This 253-nucleotide ribosomal RNA is filed under the name uncultured bacterium. RNAcentral describes it as "partial 16S ribosomal RNA". It matches the Rfam family "Bacterial small subunit ribosomal RNA", at positions 524 to 776 of the family's 1533-position model. The record is from RNAcentral.
UACGUACGAGGCGAGCGUUAUCCGGAAUUACUGGGCGUAAAGCGCGCGCAGGCGGGCUCGUAAGUCGGGCGUGAAAUCUCCCGGCCCAACUGGGAGGGGUCGUCCGAGACUGGGAGCCUUGAGGACGGCAGAGGUUGGUGGAAUUCCUGGUGUAGUGGUGAAAUGCGUAGAGAUCAGGAGGAACACCGGUGGCGAAGGCGGCCAACUGGGCCGUCGCUGACGCUGAGGCGCGAAAGCUCGGGGAGCGAACGGG